ACGGGAGGCAGCAGUGGGGAAUAUUGGACAAUGGGGGAAACCCUGAUCCAGCGACGCCGCGUGAGUGAAGAAGUAUUUCGGUAUGUAAAGCUCUAUCAGCAAGGAAGAAAAUGACGGUACUUGACUAAGAAGCUCCGGCUAAAUACGUGCCAGCAGCCGCGGUAAUACGUAUGGAGCAAGCGUUAUCCGGAUUUACUGGGUGUAAAGGGAGCGUAGACGGCGAAGCAAGUCUGAAGUGAAAGGACGGGGCUCAACCCUGUGACUGCUUUGGAAACUGUUUUGCUAGAGUGCCGGAGGGGUAAGCGGAAUUCCUAGUGUAGCGGUGAAAUGCGUAGAUAUUAGGAGGAACACCAGUGGCGAAGGCGGCUUACUGGACGGUAACUGACGUUGAGGCUCGAAAGCGUGGGGAGCAAACAGGAUUAGAUACCCUGGUA
Molecule: ribosomal RNA, 434 nt
Filed under: uncultured Lachnospiraceae bacterium
Lineage: Bacteria; Bacillati; Bacillota; Clostridia; Lachnospirales; Lachnospiraceae
Description: partial 16S ribosomal RNA
Rfam family: Bacterial small subunit ribosomal RNA
Source: RNAcentral